GGAGCUCUGCUUCAGUAGUAGAGUAUCUGCUUGGCAUGCAGAAGGUCCCUGGAUGAAUCCCUGGCAUCACCA
Molecule: transfer RNA, 72 nt
Filed under: Sphaerodactylus townsendi
Lineage: Eukaryota; Metazoa; Chordata; Lepidosauria; Squamata; Sphaerodactylidae
Description: tRNA-Ala
Source: RNAcentral